Molecule: long non-coding RNA, 3818 nt
Organism: Acinonyx jubatus (cheetah)
Lineage: Eukaryota; Metazoa; Chordata; Mammalia; Carnivora; Felidae
Exons: 2
Source: RefSeq, a predicted model, not a curated record
GGGCAGAGAGAGAAGGAGACACAGAAUCUGAAGCAGGCUCCAGGCUCUGAGCAAGCAGUCAGCACAGAGCCUGAUGCGGAGCUUGAACCCACAAACCGUGAGAUCAUGACCUGAGCUGAAGUCGGACGCUCAACCGACUGAGCCACCCAGGCGCCUCUAUUUAUUCAUGUUUUUAAAGGGAAGAAGAAGAAUCUGAAGUUUUAGGGGGAUAAUCUCCUGAUUAUUCAAUGCUGCCAACAAAAUAAAAAUUUAAUCAAGCUUUUGUUUUAAAUCCAGUAGAGUUAACAUAAAAUCAACUUUUUAAUAAACACUUGAGUAGGUUAGAUUCUACCGGGGGUGACCUGCUUAUGACCUCUAAUUUAAACUACUCAGGACAGAUUAUUGCUGUCUUAAAUAUUGGUACUCCCCCCCCCCCUUUAAAAAUUUUGAUUUAUUUUGUAAGCCCUGUUUCCCUCAGAGAGAUUUCUAGUAAUUUCUUACUUGGUCAAGUUGCCUUUACAAUGUCCCUGCUCUGUGCUCUCUCCUGACAGAGUGUCCCAAGGGUCCUGACAUCCUGGUGGUCCUACUCUCAGUGAUGGGGGCCAUUUUGCUCAUCGGCCUUGCUACUCUGCUCAUCUGGAAGCUCCUCAUCACCAUCCAUGACCGGAAGGAGUUUGCUAAAUUUGAGGAAGAGCGAGCCAGAGCAAAAUGGGACACAGCCAACAACCCACUGUAUAAAGAGGCCACAUCCACCUUCACCAACAUCACCUACCGGGGCACUUAAUGACAAGCAGUCAUCCUCAGUUCACUGUCAGGCUGUCCCAGAAUUGUGGACACAUCUGCUGUCAUGUUUACAGGGAACGAAAUCUGUGGGGCAGGAUCGGGGGCUGGGAGUGGGGUGGGUUACAAGAAUGUCAGUAUGUGGAGGUGUGCGUCUCUGUGCGUGUGUACGCGUGAGUGUGCUGCAUGUGGGGGAGUAUGUAAUUUAAAACUUGAGGUGUGUCCAGACACGUGGAGCUCCUCAGCCUUUGUCCGCAGAAUGCCUCCUUCAGGGAUCCUUCCUGCUUAACCUUAGGGUGACCCACGUAGCUGAGCAGGUACUGUUCAUUACCUCAGUGAGAAGCCAGCUUUCCUUUUCCGGCCAUUUCUCCCGAAGAGAAGGGCAGGGCUGAGCCUCUCAUUCCAGAGGAAGGGGCCUUGACUCUGCCUUGAGUUUACGGUUCUUGGGUCCGACGCUCAGCAGCUCUGAUAGCAAAUGCUGGGCUCUGCAGCCUUGUUGUGUCAUCUGGACUUUGAUCUCCUUUGCCUUCCCUCAGGCUGAAGGAGAAAUCAGAAGCAAGCGGAGCCAUCGGAGUUGCCUAUGUCUUUCGCUAUCCCCUCAAUCCAGUAUGGUUCUCUCACAAGGGGAGCCCUUGCCAGCAAUUCUGUUGGGAGUGAGGAUGGGAAGGCCACUCAGGGGUCAUGCAUGGCCUGGAUGAAUGUGCCAGAGUCCCCCAGUUCAUAAUCAUCACCCUUCAGAUUUGUCUCCUUGGCACCCCACCCUAGAAGUUCGAUUGGAGGACGCGUGUUACCCUUAGACCAGCAUCACCUCUUUACCUUCUACGUCCACACUCUCACUGCUGUAGACACUUGCUACGUACUGGGAAUUUCUUUCAUGACCGGACGCUUUUCCUCCCAGGGAGAGUGCUGUGAUGAGAGCCAGAGAUCUGGCCCCGCCCUUCAGGCCCUCUGCCCCUUGUCCAAGGCACCCCCCCGCCCCUACACCCAAUCUGGUGCUUCUGUGUGCUACAUCCAUCCAUGGGGCUGAUUGCACUUAUCUACCUCUCGGCUGUCUUGUGAAGGAAUCAUUCCCAUGGGUCUCUGAGUCUGCUGGGCAUAUGUGCCACAUUUAGAAGGAUGGGCCAGUUGGAUCAGCGUGUGUGGCCUCUUCUCCUAUGGGCUGGGCAACCUCAUUUUAACUCAGUCUUUAAUCUGAGAGGCCACAAGUGCAGUUUUAUUUUAUUUUUCUCAUUGGGUCACCUGAAACCAUGAUGAGGCUUGCUUAAUCUAAAGGAAUACGUACAGAAACACAUUUGCAUUAUAUUUUGUAGUUUUAUUUGAGGAGGAGGAGCAUAUUUAAAAACAACAACAACAACCCCACACAGACUUGGGAUGGAUACAGACCCUCCCACUUGGCAUCAUUCAUAGGGAGUUGCUGCCCAUUUGCUGGAUCUGUAGGGGCUCUCUCAUCCUGGGAGCCUGUGGGGAUGGCCCCCCGGGCAUGCUGGGCCAUUUCUGAGCAGGAGGGGUACAAGUGGUUCUUUUCUCCGAGCAGUUGCUUCCUUGGUGUUCACAUUGGUCUAAACAUUAACCACCACCCUCACCCCCCAUUCAUCAAGGAAAAGGAAAGAGCUAUAGACCGUGGUCUGAUGAUCAGAAAAUGUAAGUCCUGGCCUCAUUGUUGCAGCUGAGGAAGCUUUACCCUUAAUUAAGGCAAGCCUCUCUUCCUUCCCCUCGGGGCUCAGUUUUCUAGUUUGAAAAAUGAUAGUUUGGACCAGCCAGUCUGGAAGGUGUCUUUCAAUAUCGAUAAUCUGAGAUGCUGGGACUUACUGUGGCAUCAGCCAUUCAGUCAAGAUUCCGUGAGACGUUGAUACUACUUUUUUUGUUGUUAAGUUGGGAGAUCUGAGAGACCGGCUUUUGCAAGAGCGGAUGUCAUUCCACGUCACCUUUCUCAAUGAAAAAGCCUCCUUCUGGCCUCUCUUAGAGCCCCUUCUCCGAUGUUUGUUAGCAGUCACAUUUCCUAAUGUAGCACUCAAGCUCCACUUAGUUUAUUAUUCCUUAGCUCACUUUGCACACGUUUGCAUCCACAUAUAAGGGAGAGGAAUCCAUUAAGAAGUAGCUGAAAUGUGUAUUCUGUAUUCGUGUGUUAACACUGAGAAUAAGCCUUGGAAUUAGGAGUAGGGCAAGUGACUGAGCCUUGUCUCACCCAUGGAUCACUCUUUACUGAAAGGGAUGGUAGUACAGUAGAGGGGUAAAUGGGGGAGGGGAGGGUCGAUAAUGAAUCCAAGAAGUUUAGAACCUAACUAUACCCUUUGGCUACUGAGACAAGAGUCCAUUAAAGCAGUAGUUGGACCUUUUCUUUAGAUAAGAUGGUUUAUAUGAAGACACUAUAUCAAAGGAGGAAGAACAUAUAUUUAAAGGAUGAAAAAAUCAGUAGGACUCUUCUCUGAGCUUCUGGAAGGAGACUCCUAGGCUUUAAAAAGGUGCCGGGUGGUCCAGUUAGGUGUUUGACUUUGGCUGAGGUCAUGAACUCGCAUUUCGUGAGUUCCAGCCCCACAUCAGCCUCUGUGCUGACAGCUCAGAGCCUGGAGCCUGCUUCGGAUUCUGUGUCUCCCUCUCUCUCUGUUCCUCCUCUGUUCACGCUUUCUCAAAAAUAAAUGAAGAUUAAAAAAAAAAAAAAGACCAAUGCUCUUUGUAUGCGGGGAGAACCUGUAGCUGUGUUCGCGAGACAGCAAAUGGCAGUCAGUUUGGGCAUCACGUAGGGUGAACAUCUAAAUAGUAUUUUGGUAUCAGCACAGCCCAAAGAAGUUAUUUAUUUGUGCUCAGCUCAUCUGGAGAGAAUUUAUGUUCAGUCUCAGGGUGUGUGGAUAGUAAUGGGAAGCUUGGGAUGCUCCUGACAAGUUGUCACAUAACGAAUCCCAUCUUUCUCUCUCAGAUAUUCCUAGACCAUCCAUGAUUUCAAGAUCCUUCUCUUUGUUAGGUAUUCCUGGUGGAAAUGACUUAAGUGCCUUCCUGACUUCCUAACCACCCCCUCUGUUUGAAUUGUGCAACAGUAAAUUAAAUGUGCUUUCCAAAAAGAA